CCUACGGGUGGCUGCAGUGAGGAAUAUUGGUCAAUGGCCGAGAGGCUGAACCAGCCAAGUCGCGUGAGGGAAGACGGCCCUACGGGUUGUAAACCUCUUUUGUCGGGGAGCAAAGCGACCCACGUGUGGUUCAUUGAGAGUACCCGAAGAAAAAGCAUCGGCUAACUCCGUGCCAGCAGCCGCGGUAAUACGGAGGAUGCGAGCGUUAUCCGGAUUUAUUGGGUUUAAAGGGUGCGCAGGCGGAGGUGCAAGUCAGCGGUCAAAUUGCGGGGCUCAACCCCGUACUGCCGUUGAAACUGCAUCCCUUGAGUGCGCGAGAAGUAUGCGGAAUGCGUGGUGUAGCGGUGAAAUGCAUAGAUAUCACGCAGAACUCCGAUUGCGAAGGCAGCCUGCCGGGGUGCGACUGACGCUGAGGCUCGAAGGUGCGGGUAUCAAACAGGAUUAGAUACCCGAGUAGUC
RNAcentral lists this ribosomal RNA (459 nucleotides) under uncultured bacterium. Its description in RNAcentral is "partial 16S ribosomal RNA". It matches the Rfam family "Bacterial small subunit ribosomal RNA", at positions 338 to 795 of the family's 1533-position model. The record is from RNAcentral.